Malus domestica (apple) is the source of this 2199-nucleotide non-coding RNA. The record is from RefSeq and is a predicted model, not a curated record. Lineage: Eukaryota; Viridiplantae; Streptophyta; Magnoliopsida; Rosales; Rosaceae.
GUACCCAUCUAUGAAACUUUUCAACUUUUUAAUUUUAAAAUGUUGUGACAUCCCGUCGUGAAAUUUAUUAUAUUUUAUUCUUAACAGUGAUAAAAUUCCUAAAAUACCCUUGAGAUACCACGUAGGCCUUCCACAUGGACUUCAAAAUUUUCUUUUAUUUUUCCAGCCUUAUUUUACUAUUUUUGAACACGUAACGGUAAACAGAACUCAAUUCAGAAUUACAACGAACAAGUUUUGUUUAAAACAGUAUAAAAAUACCAUGCAACUCCAAAACUUGAAACCUUCCCUCGUGCAGCGCGCACCAAUGCUGGGAUUUUAUCGUGUCCGAGUGGGUCGCUGUUGUUUUUAGUGGAAAUUGAAGUGAAAUACAAGUAGGAAUUAAAAUAAUGGUUUAUUUGGGUUUUGAAAGCUCCAUUUUUCGAGAGAUUUUUUAGUUUGAUCGGUACACGAAAUGAUAACCACGUGUUAUUAUGUAAAUGGUGGGAUAUAUGUGCUAAAAAGUUAAUAACUUAAAUAGUAAAAUUUCCCAUAACUCUUAUUAAAACACAUGAUGUACCAUUUGUGUUUCCGUCACAACAAAAAAUUUCAACUAUUUUUCCAACUCCAUCUGACACCAUCAUUUUCCCUCACAACUCUCUAGCUCUCUCACUCAUUCUGGGCUAGUUUCGUAUUGCUGUGCUUUGAAAAAAAAAAAAAAAACUACUUCUGCUGUGCUGUGAGAAUAAGCUUAUUUUUGCUGCUUCACGUUUUCAGCUUUUUUUUCACCAAAAAUUGUGAAAAUAAAAUAUUUUUAAAUAUUUACCCAACACUUUUUAAGCUCAAUUUUUAUUUAUACUCACUUUUUAUAAAAGCACAUCAGUACCAAACCAGUACUUCUUAUCUCUUUCCACUCAUCUCUCUCACUUCCUCUUUUUUUUUUUUUUGAAUUAUCAGUUCUCUCUCUCUCUCUCUCUGACACAUACAUACACACCCUAAUUGCCCCGUGCCCUCCCACUCCCCACCAAUUAAAGUUAUACCCCCACUUGCCCCGUGCCCAAUUCUCAGAUUCUCCGCCCUCUUCCUCCUUCCAUAAAUCCUACAUUAUUCUGCGUUUCUUUCUCUGUUAAAGUCUCUGCCUUUUUCAUUUUCUCUACACUUUUGGGCUGAUUUUCCCGGGAAAGAUGAAGGACCCCCAUCUGGGUUUCUGGGGUUGUUUACCUGGUGUGCUGCUUUUGUUCUUUUCUCUCUACCCACCAUCAGCACACUCCCAGUCCGCCGGCGGCGAUGACAGAGCAGCUAUGGAAGCACUCAGCAAAAGCAUCGGCCCCAACAGCCUCGGGUGAUCCGGCACCGAUUACUGCAACUGGGGACAAGUCAGUUGCACCAAGGACGGCAAGGUUUUUAAAUCCAAAUGGGCAAUCAGAAACUCACCGGCACGCUUACAUCGGAAAUUCAAAAGCUUUCAAAUUUGCAGCUUUUCCUCUCCUUGCACUUUCUUCUUUCCCUCGGCACUACCCAAACUCAGCUGUAACCUUGCUUGCAUCAUUAGAACACCUCUGUGUGUUCUGCCAUUGAAGCCGAUAGCUUCAAAUCUCUGAAACUCGAACUCAGAAACUGACGAGUGUGUUCGAAGGAAAUCCGUUGAAUCCGAAGUGGAUUCGACUCGAUUUCGUCUGUAUUGAUGCUCUGAUGAAUUACCUCAAUUUCUGGUGAAGUUCUAGUUCAAAGUCAUGUGGAACCGAGGUGUUUCACCUCUGUUCAUCCUCUGCAAUUAGUUCCAGAAAACUGGUGAACCUUCACCUGAGCAAUUCCGAUGAAAUUCAUGACAAACUUGCCCCAAUUCAUCUUAAUCAGUCCUUUGAUUCCAGUGAACUCCGGUGAUCGUGAAAUCUAACGACCGCCGUUGGGUUUAACGGAAUCUUCAACGGAAAUGGUUUCAUUAAUCACGUUACAUGUUAGAAAUUGUACAACGGUAGAAUAUGCUUGUUUGGUGGGAAAUUUUAGAAAAAGAAUGAUGUUGCGGUACUGUUUUUACAACAAGGACCAAACUGUAAAAAUUGUUGAAGCUUUAGGGCUGUUUGGUAAUUCUAAAAACUUGGGGGGCAUUUUUGCAAUUAUCUGUGGUUAGGGGUAAUUUUGUAAAAUAGGACAUAUUAUAGUUAAUCUGUCCAUUUUGUGUAUGCUUUAUGUUUAAGUAUUUUGUUAAGUCAAUGUGACUUG